Molecule: long non-coding RNA, 1124 nt
Organism: Dermacentor silvarum
Lineage: Eukaryota; Metazoa; Arthropoda; Arachnida; Ixodida; Ixodidae
Exons: 3
Source: RefSeq, a predicted model, not a curated record
AGCAAAAGCUGUAAGGAGCAGUGAGGGUUAUGCUUUGAGGGAGAAAGUAAAGCGAAAUGCAAAAGGAGAGAACGAAGAGAAACAAGUCGACGCCUCCGCUUUGCUUUGAUGGCGGAGGAGGAGGAAAGGCUGCGCCGACCGGACCGGGAAGGAGCGAGAACAUGGCGUAUGGCGGCGUGCGAGGCGAUUGUUUUCGGCGGUAAUUAUCGUCAUAUCUUUGUACCGGCGACGUUAUGCGACUGUGUUCGUGUUGUGAAGUGAUCUGGCCGCGUCGGUGAACGCUCUCGGUGAUGUCAGUGAUGUUCAAAUCCACCGUUGUUACCGGAAAUUGCAAAAAAGCAGUGCAACUUCGACAACUCGUGAGUACGACGGCCACACGGGCGAUCAGCGGCGGCGGGCCGCCAUGUGCGCUGGAUCGGAGGGCCCAGGAGUGCGUGCUGUAGAGCUGCGAACCUGUGCCUAUUUGGAAUAAAGUGGGACGUCAACAAUAAUAAGAACGCCACCCAUGAAAGCAGAACCCCGGGCUCUCCAUUGGAACUUUAGAGUGGACCACCGCACCGGUACGACGGUCACCUGGAGGCCCAGGAGUCAUCAGGACAAAUAACUCUGAAUAUAUAUAAAUGAUAUCUAAUGUGUUUGUGAUGACGGAGCAAUUAUGUCAAAAUGAAACACAUAUUUAAAAAUGUUUUUUUUAUCUUGUUAACAAUGUAUUCAUAAAAAACUUCACUUGGAUCUCUCUUCAUUCACCCAACCACUGCGGCAUGUAUACAGAGUGUGAUCCGCAAGACAAAAGAUUUUUUAUGUUGCUUGGCUCCCAAAAGAGUUCUUCAAUUCAAAUACGUACAAGGUGUGUUCGAAAAGAAACCAAACUUUUGCUUUAACAUCUUUAUUGCUUAUUGUACAACAUUUUAUGCAUGGCCCCUUCAAAGUAGUCCCCUCUUCUGGCAAUACAUUGUUCCUAUCAUCUCAUCCAUUUUUUGAAAGCCUCCUGGAACACUUUUUCUGGGAUGGCGCGUAGGUCUCGUGUCGCAUUGUCUUGAAAUUUCUUUUAUGGGUUGGAAACGACGUCCUUUCAACGUGAUUUUAAGUUCGGGAAACAGGAAAAAGGCUUCUUGGGCUAGGUC